Long non-coding RNA from Herpailurus yagouaroundi (jaguarundi), 2464 nucleotides. RefSeq lists it as uncharacterized. Lineage: Eukaryota; Metazoa; Chordata; Mammalia; Carnivora; Felidae. The transcript has 2 exons. The record is from RefSeq and is a predicted model, not a curated record.
CCGCCCCCCGCGCACCGCCCAGGGCCGCCAGCGCGGCGCGGAGAGGUCACCGCGGUGGCAUUCCUCCCCGCGCGCUGUUUACGUGACUUAAUGUACUUCAUACGCCGCGGCUUGUUAUCUAGGCCACCCAUGACCGACGAAAGAUCUUCCCUCCCGGCUUCUCCCAAGGCCGCUUUAACCCAAAUAAAUUUGGCUAUUAAGGGCCAAGAUGCCUGACAAAAGAUCGAAAGGUGUCUAUCCGUGAUCGCUUAAAGAAGCGGAGGAAAAGCUUGUGGCUCUCUGAUCCCGAUAAAGACAUUCCACCCGGCGCCGGCCUCCCUUCCCGCGGCCUGGCUGCGCCCUGACACCCUGAGAUCGCGGCCUCACUGGCGCACACCUCCACGGGCCCGGCGGGACCUGUGUCCGCUGCACCGGGAAUGUGGAGGUCCCCAGGCUGCCUGGGUCCCGGGGUCCGUGGAACUCCAGGCCGGACGGAGCUGGGCUCCCAAAACAGACACCCUGCACUUGCCAGAAAAACUAAACCGAGCUCACUGGGGCCUGAGUUACCGUCCCGUUUUGAUUAUUUUCUGAUGUUGAAUAAUUCUACCUUCCCACCCCCCACUCCCUGGGGUUUUGCCGAGGGGCGAUGUUAUUCCAUAUCUCUGGUGGUCUGGAGCAGCCCUUCUUUGGAACCCCGGUCAGAACCGAUGGGUGGAACUGGACAGCUGAAUUAGACUGAGGCCAAUGCGGCGGGUGUGGACUCGCAAAUGAAGAGCGCGCAGGUGGGAGGCAGAGGUCCAAUCCCUCGGUCAUCCCCAGGUUGGCUUUGGUUAUGAAAUGCGGUGUUUAUUAUCAUUAUUAAUUACUAUUGGCAUAACUACACAAAGCCUAGGGCUGCCAGCUGGGCUGAGGCCCUGCCCCUGGGGUGAUCCUUUUCACUAAAGCGAGGCAGGACUAUCCACUUUCCUGAUCCAGGACUGAAGAGGGGGCUUGGGGAGUCAGGUGCCACGUUUUGGAGGUCUCCGCACUGAGCCAUUUCUUCUUCCCUUAAGUAGAUGUAGCAUUCCCCCGGACUCUAGUCUCACCUAAGCCUUUUCUGCCACUUUGCAACAUGGGUAGUUAAGAACCUUCAGGGGUGGCAGGUUAGAGAGACAGCGCUGGCUUCCCUGCAACGGGGAUUCAUUCCUCUUAGAUCUUGUGCUGUCCCCUUCUGUUCUAUGGUGAAGCUGGAGACAGGACUCUGAAUUCCAAAGGCAAUCUAACAUCUUCGGUUUCUGUCUGUCACCUCAUGCUGGGUCCCGGAAGUUAAAGAUGACUCCCUUUUCUCAUUGCCUUCCUCCAAAUAAGGUGAACUCCAAAGCCAUCCACCUCAUCUAAUCCUUCCCCCUCAUCCAGCCCACCCCUCUGGGGUGGGGGGUGGGGGGGGGGAUAGGAAAAACCAGAGCAUCAGAAGGAAAGGGAUCAUUUCUGCUCCCCCAAAGGUGAAAGAGACAGAAAUUUCCAACACACUAGACAUGAAAGACCUGAAUUUUGCUGGUAUCACUAGAUGUGCAGAUAAUGCCAAUUCUAGGGUCAGAGUCCAGAUGCCACUGCCCCAGAGCUGUCUCAGCUCAGAGACCUUUCUGUUUCUCUUUUCUUGGUUGGGGGGGGAGGGGGUAAUGUUGCUAAGAGGGAGCAGAAAAGGAGGUGAUAGAUAAGCUUUUGGAGAUUUGCUAAGUAACUAAUGCUCCUCCUUGAGUCAAUUAAAGGGGAGAGAAAUGCCCCCAAAAUAAAAAAUUACUGCAUUUGCCACCCAGAACUAUGACCUCUGCAUUCAGUUAUGUUGCAAAUAUGCAGAGAAUCAGGACCGAGAGUUGUCUACCCAUAUGCAGCCCUCCAGUUUCCUGCGCUUGCCCAACAACACUACUGAGUAUAUAUACUGCACAAAGAGAACUAGAAGAGUUAGCUCCUAGUUUUGAAGUGUUUACAGUCUAGAAGUUUGGGACUUCUGUGGAGCCGGUUAGGCAAAGUACCACAGACAGUUUCAAAGAUGGAGGGAGGUGUUUGAGCCUUUCCCUAGAAGAGUUUACCCAGGCUCAUAUUGUCUUCUAGGCUUCACAGUGAGUUUGUAAAGAACCGAGUCACUCUGGCUCACAGACUAAGAGAAUUGCCUGGGUUGGAAUCUUGAUUCUGCCACUUUCUAACUGUGUGACCAGGACAAAUUGCCUAACCUCUCUGUGCCUCAGAUUUCUCAUCUGUAACAUGAGGAUGAUAAAAGUAACUCCCCGACAGGAUUGUUUAAGGGGAUUAAAAGAUUUCUUAAAUGGAAAGUGCUAAGAGUACCUGGCACAUAGUAAGCACUAUGUUAAGUGUGAACUAUUAUUACCAAUAUCUAUAUUGUAAUAGACUCACAUAUACUACACCGACUUUCAAUUUCUUGUGUGACCCAUCUGUUCCCUGGAGCGAAUUAAUUUCCAAGAAAGAACUUCUUUCAGCACCCAUUCAA